GACAUGAUGUUCCGUGCCUCGUGUGACAUUCUGAGCGUAAGGGACAAACUGCUCUCCCAGCUCUUUGUCUUUGCUGUGAAAAAGAGAACCAGAAGGUGUGUUAGUUCACUUCUGAAUCUUACAGAGAACCUGAAGGUGUGUUAGUUCACUUCGGCAUCUUACAGAGAGCCUGAAGGUGUUAGUUCACUUUGCCAGUUUACAGGCAAAGACCUCUGUCAUCUACCCAGUGCAGUGAGACCAACACAAGUUCAGCUCGCUAAGGUUACUCCCUACAACAAGUUCAGCUCGCUAAGGUUACUCCCUACAACAAGUUCAGCUCGCUAAGGUUACUCCCUACAACAAGUUCAGCUCGCUAAGGUUACUCCCUAGGCUUUGUGUAACUCCACAGCAUAUUAUGCAAAUGGGCGCCAGUGACAAUGACAGCUCGAACAGAUAAUCAUCUUUGGUUCUCAUUUUCAUCUUAUCUCUACAUGAUCUUGUCCAUUUGCAGGAGCUGCUUAGCAUGAACGGAGAACGGUAAAUUCAUCUGAUAUUUACUUCACUGAUAGUGUAGAUGUGAGGGUCACUGCCCUCUCUAGCG
Molecule: long non-coding RNA, 580 nt
Organism: Clupea harengus (Atlantic herring)
Lineage: Eukaryota; Metazoa; Chordata; Actinopteri; Clupeiformes; Clupeidae
Source: Ensembl